RNAcentral lists this ribosomal RNA (1358 nucleotides) under uncultured bacterium. RNAcentral describes it as "partial 16S ribosomal RNA". It matches the Rfam family "Bacterial small subunit ribosomal RNA", at positions 62 to 1432 of the family's 1533-position model. The record is from RNAcentral.
UCGAUCGGUGAACUCAGCUUGCUGGGUGGAUCNNNNNCGAACGGGUGAGUAACACGUGAGCAAUCUGUCCCUGACUCUGGGAUAAGCGCUGGAAACGGCGUCUAAUACUGGAUACGAACCGUGGAGGCAUCUUCAACGGUUGGAAAGAUUUUUUGGUCAGGGAUGAGCUCGCGGCCUAUCAGCUUGUUGGUGAGGUAAUGGCUCACCAAGGCGUCGACGGGUAGCCGGCCUGAGAGGGUGACCGGCCACACUGGGACUGAGACACGGCCCAGACUCCUACGGGAGGCAGCAGUGGGGAAUAUUGCACAAUGGGCGAUAGCCUGAUGCAGCAACGCCGCGUGAGGGAUGACGGCCUUCGGGUUGUAAACCUCUUUUAGCAGGGAAGAAGCGAAAGUGACGGUACCUGCAGAAAAAGCGCCGGCUAACUACGUGCCAGCAGCCGCGGUAAUACAUAGGGCGCAAGCGUUAUCCGGAAUUAUUGGGCGUAAAGAGCUCGUAGGCGGUUUGUCGCGUCUGCUGUGAAAUCCCGAGGCUCAACUUCGGGUCUGCAGUGGGUACGGGCAGACUAGAGUGCGGUAGGGGAGAUUGGAAUUCCUGGUGUAGCGGUGGAAUGCGCAGAUAUCAGGAGGAACACCGAUGGCGAAGGCAGAUCUCUGGGCCGUAACUGACGCUGAGGAGCGAAAGGGUGGGGAGCAAACAGGCUUAGAUACCCUGGUAGUCCACCCCGUAAACGUUGGGAACUAGUUGUGGGGUCCAUUCCACGGAUUCCGUGACGCAGCUAACGCAUUAAGUUCCCCGCCUGGGGAGUGCGGCCGCAAGGCUAAAACUCAAAGGAAUUGACGGGGNNNNNNNNNNNNNGCGGAGCAUGCGGAUUAAUUCGAUGNNANNCGAAGAACCUUACCAAGNNNNNNCAUAUACGAGAACGCUGCAGAAAUGUAGAACUCUUUGGACACUCGCAAACAGGUGGUGCAUGGUUGUCGUCAGCUCGUGUCGUGAGAUGUUGGGUUUAGUCCCGCAACGAGCGCAACCCUCGUUCUAUGUUGCCAGCACGUAAUGGUGGGAACUCAUGGGAUACUGCCGGGGUCAACUCGGAGGAAGGUGGGGAUGACGUCAAAUCAUCAUGCCCCUUAUGUCUUGGGCUUCACGCAUGCUACAAUGGCCGGUACAAAGGGCUGCAAUACCGUGAGGUGGAGCGAAUCCCAAAAAGCCGGUCCCAGUUCGGAUUGAGGUCUGCAACUCGACCUCANNNNNNCNGAGUCGCUAGUAAUCGCAGAUCAGCAACGCUGCGGUGAAUACGUUCCCGGGUCUUGUACACACCGCCCGUCAAGUCAUGAAAGUCGGUACACCUGAAGCCGGUG